GCCCCCUUACCUCAGUUGGCUAGAGGGUCCGCCUUGUAAGCGGAACGUCGUCGGUUCGAUCCCGACAGGGGGCUCCA
Molecule: transfer RNA, 77 nt
Filed under: Gordonia sp. (in: high G+C Gram-positive bacteria)
Lineage: Bacteria; Bacillati; Actinomycetota; Actinomycetes; Mycobacteriales; Gordoniaceae
Description: tRNA-Thr
Rfam family: tRNA
About the family: Transfer RNA (tRNA) molecules are approximately 80 nucleotides in length. Their secondary structure includes four short double-helical elements and three loops (D, anti-codon, and T loops).
Source: RNAcentral